UUGUUCUCGUGAGAGUGUGCAUGCUUUCAUUCUGAUCACUUUGUUAUACCAAAAAGAAAAAACACCCUCUGUUUCCUAUAUUCCAAAGGAAAGCAGUUGCACAUUUGAUCAGGAGUCUAAUUGUAUCUUGGCAAAGAAAAGGAGAAUUUGAGGACCUGGAGUUUUCCAUUUAGGGUAGUAUCAACAAGCUGGUCCACUGAGAGAGGAAAGCAAGCAUGUUGAAAUUGCUUUCGUUUUCAAAGCAUUUUCCUGUCCAGGAAGCAGGAGCAGUCAUGGCUGUAUAUCAUUCUGAGAGUGAGAACAAUGAAUCUGAAGAAGGCUCUGCAUAAUCUUCCUUUUCCACAGAAUCUGAAGAAGAAAAUGAAGAAAGUAGAGACGAAGAAAGAGCUGCAUCAGCCCAGUCAAUGCCUGUUUCUCCAAAAAGUACUGUGUAUGGCAGUAAGCAAGACAGACAAAGCUCCUACCCUCAUGGACUUUGCAAUGUAGUGAAGAUAAUGUUACUUGAAGGCAUGAAGCAAAUGGCUCUAUCUUCAUUUCCAAAAUUAUCCACUAAUUCAAAGAGUAUUCUUGGAGUUAUUAUCUAGAGGGAAAUUUUAGAAAGGUAGGGAUCCUCUUUUAUUUUCAAUGUUAUGCCCCAGAAAGCUUUGCAAAACCACUUGUGAAUUUUUGUAGGGAAUCUUAAAGCUCUUAAGUCAUUUUGAUGAUCCUUCCUGUACUCCAAGUUUAUUCAAAGAGGGAGUGUUACGAAAUGGUACAUAGAACCAGUGUGGGUUUUCACAAUAACUUGAUUCUGAUAGCUUGGCUCACCCAGGGAAUUCUUUUUAGAGUAACAAUUCAUUUGCGUAUGUGCUAUAUCUAAGGAAAAGCUAAAAACAUCUUCUGUUUAUAUGACCUAGCUACAGCCUUAAUACAAAACAUGAAUUUUCUCACUCCUGAGUCACAUUUUCCUUUUAUAAAAUCUCUUUCUUUACUACUUUAAGUUCAACAUUCAUUUGAGAGACCAAAGGUACUGACCCAGUUGCCCACCAUUGAAAGAGUGUCCAUGACAUGAUAUUUCUAUCUCUUUCCUGGGAAUUAAAACUCAUAAGAAGCAACUCAGGUAAAUAUAUUCUAGAAGUGGAUUUGAGGGCGCCCUGCUCAGUCUAUUCAGAAAGUCUGGAUAGAAUGGAGAACAAUGAUGGCCUGUGAGCUGCCCACUAGUUAUAGAGGCUCAUGUCAUUUCCCUUUUCUUAGCAACCCCAAUUAAACCCUGGUUUUAUACGACAUCAGCCAUAGUAUUAUGGUUGUAUAAGUAAUGGCAGUCCAAUAGAGUUCAGCUAGAAAACCCUUCAUUUAUAAUUUCUCUCAAAGAACUACUCAGUGAGUAGGGAAUAUUAGAUUCUGAUGCAUGCAGAAAAUAAAGCCAUUGAAAAUGUGAUGCACAGCCAGUGUUUGUCUCUCUUUACCAAAAAGUCAGUCUUUUGGAAUCACAUUCUCCUCUGCUUGUGAUGAGGCUUUCCUAUACCAUAUGUCUGACUAGCUGUUAAAUCUAUGCUGAGGCAAUGAGAAUCUAGUAGAGAUCUUCCCAUUUGGGGAUGACAGGUCCAUAGCCUUUUUGUGAAGGUGUUUCUCACAGUAGAGAUUAGUUAUAUUUACAUCUCACCUCUAAUAGCCAGAUUACUCAUGUUCUUUUCUCUCUA
This is a non-coding RNA of Saimiri boliviensis boliviensis (Bolivian squirrel monkey), 1679 nucleotides long. Lineage: Eukaryota; Metazoa; Chordata; Mammalia; Primates; Cebidae. The record is from RefSeq and is a predicted model, not a curated record.